Pelobates cultripes (western spadefoot toad) is the source of this 269-nucleotide non-coding RNA. Lineage: Eukaryota; Metazoa; Chordata; Amphibia; Anura; Pelobatidae. The record is from the annotation of a GenBank genome assembly.
CUUGUAGGUGUUCUAUCACCGUAUAAAGUGAAGUGACGUCUGCUGUAACUAAAAACAUAUCUUCUGUCCAAUUAAAAUCAAAUAAAAGGUUUAAAAUAUGCGUAGAGUCUCUCAAGUAUGAUUUGCGGCAGGGUACCAUCUUUUGUAGAUAUUGGUCAACAUAUUCAGAGAGAUUGGCAGUGAGGGAUCCAAUUCCAGAGAUAAUCGGUCUUCCCGGCGGUUUUGUCAGUUGCUUAUGAAUUUUAGGUAGAUGAUAGAAGACUGGUAUC